CAGCCACGGGUAGAUUUGGAACUUAGUAAAGAGCCUGGCCUCUUUGACUUGGUCAUUAUUAAUGAUGAUUUAGAAAAAGCAUAUUCUGAACUGAAGGAGGUGCUGCUGGAGGAAAUCCAGUUC
Calypte anna (Anna's hummingbird) is the source of this 123-nucleotide long non-coding RNA. RefSeq lists it as uncharacterized. The transcript has 3 exons. The record is from RefSeq and is a predicted model, not a curated record. Lineage: Eukaryota; Metazoa; Chordata; Aves; Apodiformes; Trochilidae.